GAGGAUAUAGCUUAAGUGGUAGAGUGUGUGCCUAGCAUGCACAAGGUCCUAGGUUCAAUCCCCAGUACCUCCU
This 73-nucleotide transfer RNA is filed under the name Camelus bactrianus (Bactrian camel). It matches the Rfam family "tRNA". From Rfam's summary of the family: Transfer RNA (tRNA) molecules are approximately 80 nucleotides in length. Their secondary structure includes four short double-helical elements and three loops (D, anti-codon, and T loops). Further hydrogen bonds mediate the characteristic L-shaped molecular structure. tRNAs have two regions of fundamental functional importance: the anti-codon, which is responsible for specific mRNA codon recognition, and the 3' end, to which the tRNAs corresponding amino acid is attached (by aminoacyl-tRNA synthetases). tRNAs cope with the degeneracy of the genetic code in two manners: having more than one tRNA (with a specific anti-codon) for a particular amino acid; and 'wobble' base-pairing, i.e. permitting non-standard base-pairing at the 3rd anti-codon position. Lineage: Eukaryota; Metazoa; Chordata; Mammalia; Artiodactyla; Camelidae. The record is from Rfam by way of RNAcentral. RNAcentral also lists the same sequence under 2 other names.